UCGGAUUGUAGUCUGCAACCCGACUACAUGAAGCCGGAAUCGCUAGUAAUCGCAGGUCAGCAUGCUGCGGUGAAUACGUUCCCGGGUCUUGUACACACCGCCCGUCACACCAUGGGAGUCGGAAAUGCCCGAAGUCGGUGACCCAACCGGAAGGAGGGAGCCGCCGAAGGCAGGUCUGAUAACUGGGGUAAAGUCGUAACAAGGUAAC
This 208-nucleotide ribosomal RNA is filed under the name uncultured bacterium. Its description in RNAcentral is "partial 16S ribosomal RNA". It matches the Rfam family "Bacterial small subunit ribosomal RNA", at positions 1293 to 1500 of the family's 1533-position model. The record is from RNAcentral.